RNAcentral lists this ribosomal RNA (324 nucleotides) under Triticum aestivum (bread wheat). RNAcentral's name for it is "partial small subunit ribosomal RNA". The record is from RNAcentral. Lineage: Eukaryota; Viridiplantae; Streptophyta; Magnoliopsida; Poales; Poaceae.
AUGCACCAAUCUGAUAGAACCAUGCCUUCACAACGGUUAUUACACACAUCAAUUUUCUCAACCUAUUAUGUGCUUGGUUCACUUGAUGAAAAAAUCAUCAAAAUCCUAAUAGAAGCACACACUGAAUUAAUAAAAAAAAGUGAAAUCAAAGCAACACGAUCUUACUUGAAUGUUCGUAUGCUAAAAAAAAAAGUCAAAGCAACAAGAAUCACAACCCAAAGUAUGACCCAAACGCUAGCUAAAUUACUCCAUCUCUUUAGCGACUGGAGCUUCCACAUCUCUACCACCGACACAAUAGAAGCUAAGAUGAAUACAUUACAUUAA